UAAGUGCUUGCUGUUGUUGUGA
RNAcentral lists this microRNA (22 nucleotides) under Petromyzon marinus (sea lamprey). RNAcentral describes it as "pma-miR-430a". Its record names the gene pma-miR-430a. Lineage: Eukaryota; Metazoa; Chordata; Hyperoartia; Petromyzontiformes; Petromyzontidae. The record is from miRBase by way of RNAcentral.